Molecule: non-coding RNA, 831 nt
Organism: Lactuca sativa (garden lettuce)
Lineage: Eukaryota; Viridiplantae; Streptophyta; Magnoliopsida; Asterales; Asteraceae
Source: RefSeq, a predicted model, not a curated record
GGUACCCUAUGGACCAACUGUAGCCCUCCACCCAGCCACGCACCAGUCGACACGCCUCCUGUUCUAGAUAUUUUUCAACCCUCACCGUCACCAUAUCUCCUUCUCUCUUCAUCAUCUUUUCUAGCAGCUAAAUUAUCUGUCUCCUUCCAUGAAACAUACAGUUUAAAUUCGAUAUCGCCAUGUCUAUAUGGUGUUAGCAUGGAAUCGAUUCGAGUUUCGAUGAUAACAGUGCACGUGUUUUCUACAUGUUCUGGUCAGUAUGUUAAGGAAAAUGCUUUGAUCGAAUCAUCGAAGGCAGAUCCCUGUUGGCAACUUGGCAUGAGUUACAGUUGAUGCAUGUAGACCAAAAAAAGGAGUCAAAUGCAUGUUGGAAGGUGGAUGGCUUGAAAUUUCAGUUAUAUGUGCAUGUCUUAAGUAUCAAGGGAGCAUUAUACGUGAAGGGCAUGCGGGGACAAGUGAUCCUUGAGUGGGCGGAUGGAUGCACAUGAGAAUUCAGACUAGUUAUCCAACAUGGUAAAAAUACUUCUUAAGUGAUGGAUGGAUAUAUAUUAUUUUGGGUCACAUCCGCUUUUAGCUGAAUCGAUUCUGCAUUCAAACCUCAAAAACUUGAUGUUAUUAUGUGGUUUGUUCUUCUAGGGCUUAAUUGUUUUAGCAAGGGUCACCCAGGAACAUCGGUGGAUAAAUGGUUCAUUUCACAAUACAUGAUAUGAAUAUUAUCAGAAUACAUGUACAUGUUAGAAUUAAAAGCUAAGUUACUUUUUCAACAUGGCUAGUUUCACUGUUCUAGUGAUGCCAAUUAGCCAUUAAGGAUUGAGAAGAUAACUUCCUGUA